Molecule: ribosomal RNA, 506 nt
Filed under: uncultured bacterium
Lineage: Bacteria
Description: bacterial SSU rRNA
Rfam family: Bacterial small subunit ribosomal RNA
Source: RNAcentral
AGAGUUUGAUCCUGGCUCAGAACGAACGUUGGCGGCGUGGAUUAGGCAUGCAAGUCGAACGAAUCCCCGGGGCAACCCGGGGGGAAGUGGCGAAAGGGGCAGUAAGGCGUGGGCAACCUACCCCGGGGACGGGCAUAGCCGUCCUAACGGACGGGUAAUUCCCGGCGAUGUGCCGGGGGGGCAUCCCCCUGGCAUGAAAGGAAUCUCGCCUCGGGAGGGGCUCACGUGAUAUCAGCUCGUUGGCGGGGUGACGGCCCACCAAGGCGACGACGUCUAGCGGGUGUGAGAGCACGACCCGCGCCACUGGCACUGAGACACUGGCCAGACUCCUACGGGAGGCUGCAGUCGAGGAUCUUCGGCAAUGGGCGCAAGCCUGACCGAGCGACGCCGCGUAUGCGAUGAAGGCCUUCGGGUUGUAAAGCACUGUCGAGGGGGAGGAAGCCGCAAGGUUGACCUAUCCCUGGAGGAAGCACGGGCUAAGUUCGUGCCAGCAGCCGCGGUAAUUC